RNAcentral lists this ribosomal RNA (253 nucleotides) under uncultured bacterium. Its description in RNAcentral is "partial 16S ribosomal RNA". It matches the Rfam family "Bacterial small subunit ribosomal RNA", at positions 524 to 776 of the family's 1533-position model. The record is from RNAcentral.
UACGUAGGUGGCGAGCGUUGUCCGGAAUUACUGAGUGUAAAGGGAGCGUAGGCGGGAUAGCAAGUUGGAUGUGAAAUACCGGGGCUCAACCCCGGGGCUGCAUCCAAAACUGCAAUUCUUGAGUGAAGCAGAGGCAGGCGGAAUUCCCAGUGUAGCGGUGAAAUGCGUAGAUAUUGGGAGGAACACCAGUGGCGAAGGCGGCCUGCUGGGCUUUAACUGACGCUGAGGCUCGAAAGCGUGGGGAGCAAACAGG